UACAGAGGGUGCGAACGUUGCUCGGAAUUAUUGGGCGUAAAGCGCGUGUAGGCGGCUUGUUAAGUUGGUCGUGAAAUCCCAUGGCUCAACCAUGGAAGUGCAACCAAAACUGGCAAGCUUGAGUCCUGAAGAGAAUGGCGGAAUUCCCAGUGUAGAGGUGAAAUUCGUAGAUAUUGGGAGGAACAUCGGUGGCGAAGGCGGCCAUUUGGGAAGGUACUGACGCUGAGACGCGAAAGCGUGGGGAUCAAACAGG
RNAcentral lists this ribosomal RNA (253 nucleotides) under uncultured bacterium. RNAcentral describes it as "partial 16S ribosomal RNA". It matches the Rfam family "Bacterial small subunit ribosomal RNA", at positions 524 to 776 of the family's 1533-position model. The record is from RNAcentral.